GUUUUUUUAAUGAAGAGUUGGGCCUGCUCGGUGAUUAAUAUUUAACAGCUGCGGUAUUAUAACUGUACUAAGGUAGCAUAAUAAUUUGCUCUAUAAAUUGGGGCUAGAAUGAAUGGUUUGACGAGAAUUUAACUGUCUCUAUUUUAUUUAUUAGAAAUUAAUUUUUAUAGUGAAAAAGCUUUAAUUAUUUAAAGGGACGAAAAGACCCUAUUGAGCUUUUGUUAUUAUAUAGAUAUAUAUAUGUAUAUAUAUAUGAUUUAUUUGUAAAUAACUUUGGUUGGGGUGAUCAAGGAAUAAAAAUUAAUUUAAAGUGUUUUAUUAACUUCCUUAAUUUUAAAUUUAGUUGAAGAAUAAACCAAGUUUUUUGCUUAGAAGAUAAGUUACCAUAGGGAUAACAGCGUAAUUUUUUUUGAGAGUUCAUAUUGAAAAAAGAGAUUGCGACCUCGAUGUUGGAUUAAAAUUGACCUUAAGGUGUAGAGGCUUUAUUAGGUAAAUCUGUUCGAUUUUUAAAA
RNAcentral lists this ribosomal RNA (512 nucleotides) under Octopus vulgaris (common octopus). Its description in RNAcentral is "partial 16S ribosomal RNA". It matches the Rfam family "Bacterial large subunit ribosomal RNA", at positions 1836 to 2593 of the family's 2925-position model. The record is from RNAcentral. Lineage: Eukaryota; Metazoa; Mollusca; Cephalopoda; Octopoda; Octopodidae.